Molecule: long non-coding RNA, 951 nt
Filed under: Pogona vitticeps (central bearded dragon)
Lineage: Eukaryota; Metazoa; Chordata; Lepidosauria; Squamata; Agamidae
Description: lncRNA (ENSPVIG00000000762.1)
Source: RNAcentral
CUGAAAAUAAUUUUUCUUCCUUGGUUACAGAGUGAUGUUUCUGGAAUCUGGAAUUUUUUAGAAGCUAAACCUGAGCAAGAACUACACUUUGGCUCCUGUAUACAAGAAACAGCACAAAAGGCAUGUCAUGCUCAAAUCCAAACAAAGCCAUGAAAAAGUUGCCUGUAACUGACUGUCCGUGUGAUCUGGCAUUCAAUAUCAUUCAGAAAGAUGCAAAGGCGAGUCUAAAGAACAGGAGUAUUUCUAUGAGGGCUGGUCAGCUCCAAAGAGGUGCAUUCAAGCUGCACAGUCAAUUUCUACACUAUUUAUUCAACACAAGCCAAACGAUGGAGAAUUGAGGGAGACGAAAAAUGAGAGCCUGCCAAGAAUAUGUAGGUAUCAUCUUUUGAUUCCACAACAGCUGGCAAUAUGAACUCAAAGAUGAGGCUCAUUCAUCUUCAGUGCCUUAGCUUCCUCCCUCUGUGGUAAGGUUGCUGGUUUCCAUGGAGUGGAAAGACUGUGCUGCCUAUGAUGACACAGACCCUACCCUCCACUCUGCCAGCCCCAGAUGGCACCAGCCACCAGCCAGUCCUGUAAAACCAUCAAGUGUGCUGCAACCCUUUCAAGAAAUAUUUUUAAUAUCUGUGGGACAUCUUUAUUUGUGUGCAAAAUUAACUUCAGGCAACAUUUAGGAGAUGGUUAUUGUUUUAUAAGCAAUGUGUGGCUGAUUGUUAGAUCUGUACUAUUGCCUCCAUUAUAAAAAAAAUGUAAAAUCCAAGUNNNNNNNNNNNNNNNNNNNNNNNNNNNNNNUAUAUAUAUGUGUGUGUGUGUGUGUGUGUGUGUGUGUAUUGCACAGUGAAAAACUGAUUUUGUAGAAUAAUAACCAAAAGCAUUCAUGUUUUUCUACAUUAUAUGAAUUAGUACUUAUGUUUAUAAUGGUCUGCAGAUUUUCCCUACGUGUACAAACAUGUA